This 253-nucleotide ribosomal RNA is filed under the name uncultured bacterium. Its description in RNAcentral is "partial 16S ribosomal RNA". It matches the Rfam family "Bacterial small subunit ribosomal RNA", at positions 524 to 776 of the family's 1533-position model. The record is from RNAcentral.
CACGUAGGGCGCAAGCGUUGUCCGGAAUUAUUGGGCGUAAAGAGCUCGUAGGCGGUCUGUUACGUCUGCUGUGAAAACCCAGGGCUUAACCCUGGGCUUGCAGUGGAUACGGGCAGACUAGAGGCAGGUAGGGGAGAAUGGAAUUCCCGGUGUAGCGGUGAAAUGCGCAGAUAUCGGGAGGAACACCGGUGGCGAAGGCGGUUCUCUGGAACGCAACUGACGCUGAGACGCGAAAGCGUGGGGAGCAAACAGG